GGCUGCCCACUAUUAUAAUGUAGACAUGAGAUGAGAAUGGUUCUUUCUGUUUGUUUUAAAAUUUAUUAUUAUGUUAGUUAUUUCAUGUUAAUCUCAUUUUUUCCGUGUCUGAAAUUGUAAUUUUCUUUUGUUUUGAAAACAAAGAAGAUUUUGUCAUUUCAUGCAAUAUGUACUGAAGAGUGCUUGAGCUGUGUUUGUGGCGUAAUGCAUCUAACUGGCAUGACUGUUCAUUAGGUUUGAAAUUUAUAGUGGCAAUUAAAUAUCACAGUAAUUGAAAUAUAAAUGGCAGCAGUUAUAGCUUGUGGUUCCUUUCAUGGGUGAAAAACAUCCAGAAUAUUUUAAAUAGCUGCAGUCCUCUUCAAUGAGCAUUUAUAGUGCCUAGUGAUUGAAGAUUUUAUUUUGAUGAAUAUUUGCUAAAUGAAGACUGCUUCCUCUUGUUUCAACAUAGUUCAUUUUUUUCACGCUUCAACAUAGUUCAUGUUGCCUGACAUUUGAGAUCAUACAAGCGAUACUAAUCAUCCAAUGUAAAAAUAGGAAAUCAUAAUGUGUCAAGAAGCUAUUUUGCAUGAAAUUUAAUCUUUCUACAUAAAUCCAGUUGAUUAGGAUAAAGUUCCAUGCUCUAGAAACCAUACAUACACCUUUCGAUGCAUAUGUAU
Molecule: unclassified non-coding RNA, 656 nt
Filed under: Hevea brasiliensis (rubber tree)
Lineage: Eukaryota; Viridiplantae; Streptophyta; Magnoliopsida; Malpighiales; Euphorbiaceae
Source: RNAcentral